AAGCAGCCGCAGCUGUGGGCAGCGGUCCUGCAGCGACCAUGUCCUCCCCCCGGGGCUGCAGGGAACCCUCCCCGGAUGCGUCCCUAGAUGUUCUGACUUCACUGCGCUGGGCUGGGCCACUGGCACCUUGCGUGCAGCCUGGGGUGAAACUUGAGGAUAUGCAGCCUCAGAACGCGGCCACAGAUGACAGGUGGAAGAACUAGAAUGUUGUGUCGGGAGGGAGAAACCACUGGCUCUGGGAAGCCACGCAAGUCCGAAAGGAGAAGGAUGAACAGGAUUGGAUUUCAGCUUUGAGACCUCACUCUGGUGCCAAGAACGCCUUGAGAGGAAAGCCAAGGAAAACACACCUACAGGGGUCUGAUUGCUGAGAGAGAUAUCAGAAGCAGAUGGAGGCAGGCAGAGAGAGAGAGAGAGAAGCAGGCUCCCUGCUGAGCAGAGAGCCCGAUACGGGACUCGAUCCCAGGACCCCGAGAUCAUGACCUGAGCCGAAGGCAGCGGCCCAACCCACUGAGCCACCCAGGCGCCCGCAAAGGCUGUGCCAGCCCCACUCCUCUCCUGCGGACCGAUGGUCUUCAUCAGACACUUCCUGGGCUGGGUUCAGGGCUACAGCCCAGUUUUGUAUGACCUUGUAUUCAAAGUUCUGGAGAUUCAGUUCUAAA
This is a long non-coding RNA of Mustela lutreola (European mink), 659 nucleotides long. RefSeq lists it as uncharacterized. Lineage: Eukaryota; Metazoa; Chordata; Mammalia; Carnivora; Mustelidae. The record is from RefSeq and is a predicted model, not a curated record. The transcript has 3 exons.